Molecule: small RNA, 107 nt
Filed under: Marmota monax (woodchuck)
Lineage: Eukaryota; Metazoa; Chordata; Mammalia; Rodentia; Sciuridae
Source: RNAcentral
UCUGGGCAUGGUGGUGCAUGCUUAUAAUUCCAGCUAUUCUGGAGGCUGAGGCAGGAGGAUUGCAAGUUCCAGGCCAGCCUGGGCAACUUAGCGAGACCCCGUCUCAA